UGUUGUCUGUGGAGAUGGGAAGCACAGGAAGAAACUGUACUAUUGCAUGCAGUUCCGGGCACUUCAGCUUGCAGAGAAGAAGGCUGCUGCUAAGAAGUUGGGAGCAUGCAAGAGAUGUCUUGAAGUCCAUGAUGACAGUUCAGACUGCAAAGAUGAUUUCCUAUGCACCAACCAUGCCUGCAAGGAUGAACAUGCACCUGAGUAUCAUUUCUACCUCUGUCCAAACAAGAAAAGCAGCUCGGCACAGAAAAAGAGCAAACCUGGCUCAAUGGAUGGCAAAAGCAGGAGAACAUACACAGAAGAACAAGAGAACUUUGUCAAGAAGCUUUCCCCAGAGCUGGCAAGGCAGUUUCAUGAUGCGUUCUCCAAUGCUGCAUCCAAGACGUUCAACACCACAAAAGUUAAAUCAGGACUUUUAGCUGAAAGUGGAUUGCAAGAACUGCCAGUAAUGAUGAUGUUAUUGGAGGUCACCGCAAACGCUGGAGAAAAGAUUGGAACACUGAUCGACCUGGCGUCCGACACCAAUUACAUCACCCACAAGGCUGCAGACAAACUGAACCUCAGGAGCGAAGACAUCACACUCAUUGUACAUGGUGUCGGAGGAAUGAAGACCAUUGUGGAAACAAAGCGGUACCUCUUGAAGAUCAGAGUGAAGACUCCAAGAGGCACUAUGAAAUCCCAUCAAUUGGUCUGUUAUGGUCUGGACAGCAUUGUAGACAUCCAUAAAAGUGUGGACUCCAAACGGCUGCAGAAAUUAUUUCCGGAUGUCCCACUUGGAGCUCUGACAAGACCCGAUGAAGUCAAUUUGCUCAUAAGUCACAGAGAGGGCCAGCUAGCACAUCAACGGAUCCGAGGUAUCGGAGACCUUGUACUGUGGGACGGGCCACUGGGAAUGACAGUUGGAGGCGCUCAUCCUGAACUCUUUGAAGACCUCACCGUUUCCGCCCACAUGUCCAAAACACACUUUGCGAGAUCAAUGAGGACUGCUGCUUUGAGGUAUGAAGAACUCACUGGCCCAGCUUGUAAAAAACCUCCCAACACUCAGGUUCACGCCAAGUUCCAGAGGUCAAACACUUCAACCACCAACCGGGACUUCCUAGACUGGUGGAAAUGGGACAGUAUUGGUGCAGCAUGUGACCCGAAGUGUGGAGGAUGCCGCUGUGGAAAAUGUCAACCAGGCGGCAAAGAAAUUACUCUUGCAGAGGAGCGAGAGCUUGAAGUGGUAAAGGGUGGCCUCACCUAUGUCACGGAGGACAACCACAGCAAAGAGCCACAUUGGCAUGCCAGGUAUCCUUGGGUGGAGGACCCCAUGUCACUACCAAAUAAUAGAAAAACAGUUGAGGCCACAUUCCUGAGAACGGAAAAGCAACUUGCCAAAACACCUGAGUGGAAGGUGGCAUAUGCUGCACAAGUGCAUGACAUGAUUGAUCGACAAGCAGCCAUCAAACUACCCAAAGACACCAUCACCAAGUGGGAUGGACCCGUUUGGUAUCUCAGUCAUCUCAUUGCUCCUAACCCACACUCAGUCACAACUCCAGUGAGAAUUGUCUGGAACAGCAGUCAAAAGUGCAGAGGCAUCAGCAUGAAUGACCUGCUGAUGAAAGGCCCUGACGUCCUCAACCAGAUUCGAGCUGUGCUUCUCCGAUUCAGAAGUGGAGCACAUGCUGCGCUGGGUGACAUCAAAAAGAUGUAUAACUCAAUCUGGCUGGAAGACCAAGAAGUGCACCUUCACAGGUUCCUCUGGCGAGAUGCAGAGAAUGAGGACCUGGAGGAAUACGCAAUAACAAGAGUGAACAUUGGAGACAAACCAGCAGGGUGCAUAGCGCAGCUGGCAAUGCGUGAAACUGCAAACCUCCCUCUCUUUGCCCAUCUUGAAGAGGAGCGUCGAGUGCUUCACAACGACAGCUAUGUUGAUGACAUCCUCACUUCCCACAACAACCAUGACCAGCUAAUCAUCAUCACAGCCAACGUGGAGAGGAUCCUGAAGACCGGGGGGUUUGAGUUGAAGCCAUGGGUCUUCACUGGGCAAAGUGGGAGGAAGGAGCGCUCUGAAGAGGAAAGGACAAUGAAAAAUACCAUUAUCUUACCAAACCAGAUGAGCGAUGAUGACAACAAGGCACUCGGUCUGGGCUACAGAGUCGAGGAAGAUAAGCUCCAUGUCAGAAUCGGAAUCAACUUUUCAAAGAGGAAGCAAAAGAUGCGGCUGGGUGAAGACCUUCUGCAAGAGGAAAUCAGAGCCAUGACACCCAACCCUUUGACAAGAAGAGAACUUCUCAGUCAAGUGUCAGGACUGUACGACCCAGUUGGCCUUGUAACUCCUGCCAAGCAGAAGGGAGCUAUUCUGGUACGGAGGGCGUUUCAAGAGGCAAAGGCUGAUAGCCGUCCAGUCAAAGACACGGGGGACAUUGCACUCUCAGAUGAACUCAGAGGUGAUGCAAUCAAUCUGUUCGAGGCGUACCAUCAACUCAGCAAGAUCCUGUUCACCAGGGCUCUAACCCCCAAAUGCUUCAUUAUUGAACCACCCUCGGCGAUCACAUUCUCUGAUGGAAGUGAGCAUGCUUACGGAGCGGUGAUGUACCUGAGAUGGAUCACAGACCUGGGUCCCAUCAUCAGACUGGUUGAAUCCAAAGCAAAGCUAACUCCCUUGGACCACAAAGGUGAUGCUGUAAAAGCAGAAAUGUGUGGAGCAGUGUUUGCCUCACGACUCAGGAAGUUCUUCAAACUGCACGGCCAAAUCCAAGUCAGAAAGUGGUUUCAUUUUGUUGACAGUCAAACAGUCCUCGGUGCAAUACAGCGAGAAAGCUAUGGCUAUCAAACAUUCUUUGCCAACCGGAUCAAAGAGAUUCAAAGCAGCACAGCAGUACAGGACUGGUUGUGUAUCCCUGGGUCACAAAACAUUGCAGAUGUCAUCACUAGAGGAGCAGGCCCUCAAGAUCUGGAUGAACAUUCAGAGUGGAAAAAUGGACCCGAGUUCUUGAGUCCGCCAGAAAGUGAGUGGCCAACCAAAUCUGCUAAGGAACUAGCAACCACCGCCAGAGAGAGCAUCAACAAGUUGCAGAGAAAGGCAUUUGCUGCUGUGUUGACAAGGGCCGAAGCUCGGAAACAGUUCCUGGAAAAAGAACCCGAACACAAUCGAAACCAACUCCAAACAAAACAGAGACGGCAACCAGGAGGGUCAAUUGUUCAAAGCCUUGUGGAUGUCAAACGGGUCAGUGUCCUGACCAGACUGGUCAAAAUAGUUGCAAUGGUCUGGAGGGCAGCAAAAAGGUUCUGUAAACAAGUUCAGGCUUUGCAUGGCCCAAAGUGGGAGGCAGUCUACUCCAGAGGAGCCAUCUCUGUGGAAGAAAGGAAAGAUGCCCUGAGAGACAUUUUUCUUGCAGCACAAGAGGGCGCAAUCUUCCAAAACUCAACUACUGGCAGGCUGGUGGUGUACAAAGACCAGGACUCUGGUCUGUGGUGGACGAGUGCAAGCAUCCGGGGUUUCCCAAGCUACUGUGCCCCCCUGACAAAAGCCCCAAAGGCAAAGACCAGCCAUCCCAAUUCAAGCAGCAGAAAGGAAAAGCUUCAAGCCACCGUUCUGCACAGAGACGUAAGACGGUUGGUUGUCCUACUACCUGCUGAGGAACAGGAAUAGGAAAUCUUGGCACAACCACCAAAACCAAUCACGUGCACUUAGUUUGCCUACAGUCGGCGAUCUUCCCGAUGUAUCCAUGGAAAGAUCGAGUGGGAGGUGUUUUUUCAAACUCUACAUAAAGCCAAAGCCUUCACCCAAACAGAAGGGCCUCAUGUCCAAAUGUCAGUUUGGCUCCCAUUUCCCCCCAGAGGACAGAACUGGAAUUACAAGCAACAUUUCCCAACAGCUGAAGACCAUCAGUAAUCAGGAAGGCUCUCACCUGAAGCAAUCAAAUCCACUCUUUUUAAGUCUGCAGCUCCAGCUCAGACUUCAGGCCAACAAACACUGCUCGAGGAGAUUUUGCCAAAUACAAUAGAGACAACUGUUUAAAGAGACCAGGGUGGCUGACGCUUCACAUUCCAGGAAGUGCAGGACAAUACCGACCGGAUAUGGAAGUUCCAGAGAUAUGAGCUUAUCAAGGAGUACAACAGCCGCCCUG
This is an RNA transcript of Nerophis lumbriciformis (worm pipefish), 4112 nucleotides long. It is a transcript of the gene named transient receptor potential cation channel, subfamily M, member 2, with no coding region annotated. The record is from RefSeq and is a predicted model, not a curated record. NCBI's taxonomy places the organism in Eukaryota, Metazoa, Chordata, Actinopteri, Syngnathiformes, Syngnathidae.